This is a long non-coding RNA of Onychostruthus taczanowskii (white-rumped snowfinch), 271 nucleotides long. RefSeq lists it as uncharacterized. The record is from RefSeq and is a predicted model, not a curated record. The transcript is spliced from 3 exons. Lineage: Eukaryota; Metazoa; Chordata; Aves; Passeriformes; Passeridae.
GGGUGCAGUCCCAUGAAGACACCAUAGGCAUUAGUACAGCUGUUGAUGUUGUGUGGGACUACCAACAAAAACUGGACCAGAUGUUUUAUCUACUGGAGUAAAUGCUAAUACUCACCCAUAAGGGGAGCAGGCUCCAAGAACUUGUGAAACAGGUGCUACAAAACACAUAGCUAUAUUUGGAAGAGAUUUUUGGAUACCACCUACGUGGCAAAGCAUGAGUUCACAUUUAUGGAGAAAAACAAUAAGAGAAAGAAAAAGAGGAAAAGGAGAA